GACGAACGCUGGCGGCGUGCUUAACACAUGCAAGUCGAACGAUGAACCAGGGCUUGCCCUGGGGAUUAGUGGCGAACGGGUGAGUAACACGUGGGCAACCUGCCCCAGACACCGGGAUAACCAUCCGAAAGGAUGGCUAAUACCGGAUAUGACCACUUUGGGCAUCCAACGGUGGUGGAAAGGAUUCUGGUCUGGGAUGGGCCCGCGGCCUAUCAGCUAGUUGGUGGGGUAAUGGCCUACCAAGGCGACGACGGGUAGCUGGUCUGAGAGGAUGAUCAGCCACACGGGAACUGAGACACGGUCCCGACUCCUACGGGGGGCAGCAGUGAGGAAUAUUGGGCAAUGGGCGAAAGCCUGACCCAGCAACGCCGCGUGGAGGAUGAAGGCUUUAGGGUUGUAAACUCCUUUUGUGGGGAAAGAAUGGAUGGUACCCCAAGAAUAAGUCACGGCUAACUACGUG
Molecule: ribosomal RNA, 460 nt
Filed under: uncultured bacterium
Lineage: Bacteria
Description: bacterial SSU rRNA
Rfam family: Bacterial small subunit ribosomal RNA
Source: RNAcentral